Molecule: small nuclear RNA, 107 nt
Filed under: Chinchilla lanigera (long-tailed chinchilla)
Lineage: Eukaryota; Metazoa; Chordata; Mammalia; Rodentia; Chinchillidae
Source: RNAcentral
GUGCUUACUUCUGCAACUUAAAUCCUUAAAUAGAAGCAAUACAAGAAAGAUAAACAUGGACCUUGUGCAGGUAUGCCAGGCGAGUUGGUGAAACAUUCCAUACUUUU